Molecule: transfer RNA, 76 nt
Filed under: Ancylobacter novellus
Lineage: Bacteria; Pseudomonadati; Pseudomonadota; Alphaproteobacteria; Hyphomicrobiales; Xanthobacteraceae
Also listed under: 5 other names
Description: Starkeya novella tRNA-Thr
Rfam family: tRNA
About the family: Transfer RNA (tRNA) molecules are approximately 80 nucleotides in length. Their secondary structure includes four short double-helical elements and three loops (D, anti-codon, and T loops). Further hydrogen bonds mediate the characteristic L-shaped molecular structure. tRNAs have two regions of fundamental functional importance: the anti-codon, which is responsible for specific mRNA codon recognition, and the 3' end, to which the tRNAs corresponding amino acid is attached (by aminoacyl-tRNA synthetases). tRNAs cope with the degeneracy of the genetic code in two manners: having more than one tRNA (with a specific anti-codon) for a particular amino acid; and 'wobble' base-pairing, i.e. permitting non-standard base-pairing at the 3rd anti-codon position.
Source: RNAcentral
GCCGCGUUAGCUCAGUUGGUAGAGCACCUGAUUUGUAAUCAGGGGGUCGCGGGUUCGAUCCCUGCACGCGGCACCA